Onychostruthus taczanowskii (white-rumped snowfinch) is the source of this 392-nucleotide long non-coding RNA. RefSeq lists it as uncharacterized. The record is from RefSeq and is a predicted model, not a curated record. NCBI's taxonomy places the organism in Eukaryota, Metazoa, Chordata, Aves, Passeriformes, Passeridae. The transcript has 3 exons.
CCUGUGCUGGAGGGCCCGAUGAACUGCUUCAAAAGCAAAAUGGGAGCAAACAGCAAAGCAGCACAGAAAGAGGAGCUGCAGCAGUCCCUGGUCUGUAGGUGCUGCUGUGUUUCCCUUUGCAGGAAAAUGCUGAGUUUAUGCUGGGUUCAGCAAUCCUGAUGUCUGCACAGCUGAGAGAAAUCACUUCACUGUGAGUGUGAUUGUGCCUCUGCAGCUUUGACAAGCCUCUCACCUGCCCUGGGGAAGGAACAGCAGGGCUGGAAAGCUGUGGAGUCACAAUAUGCUGACUAAGGUGGACACCGUGUCUCCUCCAGCUUAAUGCUGCAAUGAUGUCCUGAAGUUUCCAGCUUGCUGAGACCUUCAUGGCCCCUUCUGCUGACUCAGGUGCUUCU